This 421-nucleotide ribosomal RNA is filed under the name uncultured bacterium. Its description in RNAcentral is "bacterial SSU rRNA". It matches the Rfam family "Bacterial small subunit ribosomal RNA", at positions 358 to 796 of the family's 1533-position model. The record is from RNAcentral.
GGAAUAUUGGACAAUGGGCGCAAGCCUGAUCCAGCCAUGCCGCGUGAGUGAAGAAGGCCUUAGGGUUGUAAAGCUCUUUCACCCGCGACGAUGAUGACGGUAGCGGGAGAAGAAGCCCCGGCUAACUCCGUGCCAGCAGCCGCGGUAAUACGGAGGGGGCAAGCGUUGUUCGGAUUUACUGGGCGUAAAGGGCGCGUAGGCGGAUGUUCAUGUCAGAGGUGAAAGCCCCGGGCUCAACCUGGGAACUGCCUUUGAAACGGGACGUCUUGAGUUCGGGAGAGGGUAGCGGAAUUCCCAGUGUAGAGGUGAAAUUCGUAGAUAUUGGGAAGAACACCGGUGGCGAAGGCGGCUACCUGGCCCGAGACUGACGCUGAGGCGCGAAAGCGUGGGGAGCAAACAGGAUUAGAAACCCUUGUAGUCC